Molecule: ribosomal RNA, 253 nt
Filed under: uncultured bacterium
Lineage: Bacteria
Description: partial 16S ribosomal RNA
Rfam family: Bacterial small subunit ribosomal RNA
Source: RNAcentral
UACGAAGGGGGCUAGCGUUGCUCGGAAUCACUGGGCGUAAAGCGCACGUAGGCGGCUUUUUAAGUCAGAGGUGAAAUCCUGGAGCUCAACUCCAGAACUGCCUUUGAUACUGAGAGGCUUGAGUCCGGGAGAGGUGAGUGGAACUGCGAGUGUAGAGGUGAAAUUCGUAGAUAUUCGCAAGAACACCAGUGGCGAAGGCGGCUCACUGGCCCGGUACUGACGCUGAGGUGCGAAAGCGUGGGGAGCGAGCAGG